CCUACGGGUGGCAGCAGUGAGGAAUAUUGGUCAAUGGACGAGAGUCUGAACCAGCCAAGUAGCGUGAAGGAUGACUGCCCUAUGGGUUGUAAACUUCUUUUAUAUGGGAAUAAAACGUUCCACGUGUGGGAUUUUGUAUGUACCAUAUGAAUAAGGAUCGGCUAACUCCGUGCCAGCAGCCGCGGUAAUACGGAGGAUCCGAGCGUUAUCCGGAUUUAUUGGGUUUAAAGGGAGCGUAGGUGGAUUGUUAAGUCAGUUGUGAAAGUUUGCGGCUCAACCGUAAAAUUGCAGUUGAAACGGGCAGUCUUGAGGACAGUAGAGGUGGGCGGAAUUCGUGGUGUAGCGGUGAAAUGCUUAGAUAUCACGAAGAACUCCGAUUGCGAAGGCAGUUCACUGGACUGCAACUGACACUGAGGCUCGAAAGUGUGGGUAUCAAACAGGAUUAGAUACCCCGGUAGUC
This 460-nucleotide ribosomal RNA is filed under the name uncultured bacterium. Its description in RNAcentral is "partial 16S ribosomal RNA". It matches the Rfam family "Bacterial small subunit ribosomal RNA", at positions 338 to 795 of the family's 1533-position model. The record is from RNAcentral.